UUUUCAUGUGAUUAGGUAUUGGUUGGGGUAGGGUAUUACGCUCAAUGGACCGUUUUUUUAAGUAACGCGUUCUGGUGUUUAUUCUUCACAGAGCUCUGUCUCUCUCUCUCGCGUUCGUGUUUCCAACUUCUUGACGAUGGAAGUUUUAAAAGAGGAUUGCAAAACAAUAUGGUAUCAAAUUCGACACGAAGAGAAGGUGAUCAACUCGAAAAGGAGGUGGUUGAUGGGAUUCCCUACAUCACCAAAGUUAAAGAAAAAGCAGUUGAAAAGGCCCAAGUUUUUAAAAAAUGUGUCUUUGCCUGAAUCCUUGCUAAGGGAGGAUGAUGUUUCCUUUGAUUCUGUAAAAACAUGUAUUGAAAGAGGCUUUGAAGUAUUUGGUGAAGAAAGAGUGCAUGAUGUAGCUCAGGAACAUUUGCAACUCUUCGACACCAAUAUGAUGCCUGCCAAUAUGGUGCUGAUUGUUUUUUCUAUGCUUGACGACUUGAACAACAAUGCACUUUGCCUUUUAGCCAAUAUAGUAACUGGAAGUACGGUCAAAUUUGAGAAAACUCGUUGGAGGAUGAAAAGGGUCAUUAAAGAAUAUCUCCGAAAGAUACUCAGAAAUAAAAGCUGUAAGGUUUAUAAUAUGGAAGUGAUAAAAAAGCUAUCUCAAGUUUUGAAGGAUCCACAUAAUUUUCAGAAGAAAUUGAGACAUAUGGAACCCUUGUCCCAAUCUUCUCGCACUGCUGCUACUAAGGUACUGGAGGGGCUUGAGGACAUGCCUUUCCAGGCAUUGAGUGCAAUGCGUAGGAAACUUAGAGGAAUUCAAGGUGGUAUCCCCCAAUUGAAGCCUCCAAAAUCCGGGUGGAGCCGAGAACGCUUGAUUGAACAAGUGAGGAAGAUAUCUAACAAAAUGCUUUCUGAACUUGGUGAAGCUGAUGAACUUCAGGGGCCGUUAGCUAAAGCCAUGGCUGUUGCAGACUUAUCAUUUAAGCUGACAACAAGGUGUCAGGAUUCCUCUAUAAUGAAGUUUUGCCAGUUCUCACCAGAAAUAGAAGCCUUGCAGAGAGAGAUUCUAAAUGCCAUAUGGAUGACUAAAAGAGUCAAGUCAUCAGAGUUGAAUGAAAUGUUACUUUUGCUGGACCCAAAGGCAGAAUCUCCAAAUCGGUCUUUGCGGACAGGUAUUAGGAAAAUGCUGAUUGAGUAUCUUUUUGAUUGUAGUGAUAUGGAUGUCAUCCCAAAGCCAUUACUAGAAACUCUUGAUAUUAUCAAUAAGAGUAGUAGAAGCACAGUGCAUAUGCAUUUUUCAAAGGAGGAAAUAGAAGAAGAGAUAGAAUGUGUAUCAAGUGUGAGCAGUCAGACUAGACAGAUUAUAUGGGACUUGUUGCCUGACCAUGAAUUUGAUCAAGAAUUUUCUGAUGCAUAUAUGGAGGAGUUAGAAGAAAGUGAUACAGAUGGUUAUGAUGAUAAUGAGCAGCAAUAUCCCAGUGAAAUGAAAAUAAACCAAUUCUAUUCAAAUGAUACAAAAGGCCAAGCUGAGGGCAUUGGGGAAUCAAGAGAGAUCGAUUGCACUAUACCUACAACUUCAGCUGUUCUAGAUGGAACUGUCCAAUUCUCACUGUUCAAUAGAAACUCAAAUAAUGGAUCAACUAGGGGAUCUGAGCCGGAGCAUCUUCCUAAAUUUAAUUCUGCAGACCUGCACGAAGUCUGUUCUUCCUCUUCCAACCAGGAGUUGAAUUGUCUGAAUGAGAUGCAGAACAUGACUGAAAACAAAUACUUGGCUAUCCAAGAAAUUUCUGAUCAGACAAGUUUGCUUGCCUAUAAACUCAUUGGUCAUUUACUGGAUGAAUUUUCACAGAUACAAGAUGUAAAUUUGGAUUGGAGUAAGAGAGCAUAUCUGAGAGGAGGAGAUUUCAUUCCAGCAGAUUCCCAAGUUUCUGAAGAAAUGCUAGUUUCCUCCGAGGACGAUAUGGAACUGAGUCUUGUUCGAGUUGUUGAAGAGCUAAUACCUUCCUUUCCAAAGAGUGGAAUUGAAAGAGUUAAGGAGUUGCUGGGGCUGCAUUAGCUUUCUUUAUUGGCAUGUUCAGGAGGUUGUGAAGUGUCUUGCUUUGCAAUGUUUGAGCUACUCAAGAUCUUGGCAUCUUGAUCAUACGAGGAAUUGCUAUAUUACCAUUCAAUAUAAAAAAAAAUCCAAUAUCAGAUGUUCCGUUGUGUUUUGAAGCAAAGGUGAUGCUAUUUUUCAGUGCAAGCUAGAGUUUUCUCAAGCAGCGAGCCUCACCAUCCAGCAUUUAUUGAUAAGUGUUUGCAGGCAUGGAUAUCACAAUGUCAAACUCAAAUCCCAUCUACUCGAACAGGGAAAAGGGUCCUGCAUGCUCUCCAUACUGGACACAACCCAUUAUGUAUGCAGAAACUCUAGCCAACAUGGUGCUUGACUUGGGUUGAUAGGCGCCAGGUUGCACUGAGCUUGCACUUGAGUGUCUUGAGUUGAUCCUCAUUUUGUUUGAUAAGAAUUGACCAACUCCCUUUAGAAAGGGUUUUUGUUUCAAGUUGGAUGGUUAAGACUAAAGAGAUGCCGUAAAGUGAAUAAUGGUCCCUUUUGCUUGAGAGAAGUAGAGGGAGUGGGAAAGAGGUGUAUGCAAUGGAUAGGCAUGUAUUCUUAUAGCAUCUAUUGUUUGUUCUGUACUCUAAAAGUUUUCAUUAGUGAUACUUCAUCUGUCAAACUUGGUCACAAGAUAAGAAAAUUGUUGUUUAUUCAAUUGUUCAACCCAAUUUUUA
Molecule: RNA transcript, 2754 nt
Organism: Nelumbo nucifera (sacred lotus)
Lineage: Eukaryota; Viridiplantae; Streptophyta; Magnoliopsida; Proteales; Nelumbonaceae
Gene name: DNA double-strand break repair protein
Source: RefSeq, a predicted model, not a curated record